This 398-nucleotide ribosomal RNA is filed under the name uncultured bacterium. RNAcentral's name for it is "bacterial SSU rRNA". It matches the Rfam family "Bacterial small subunit ribosomal RNA", at positions 362 to 758 of the family's 1533-position model. The record is from RNAcentral.
UAUUGGCCAAUGGGCCCAAGCCUGAUCCAGCCAUGCCGCGUGCAGGAUGACGGUCCUAUGGAUUGUAAACUGCUUUUAUACAGGAAGAAACACCCCGACGUGUCGGGGCUUGACGGUACUGUAAGAAUAAGGAUCGGCUAACUCCGUGCCAGCAGCCGCGGUAAUACGGAGGAUCCAAGCGUUAUCCGGAAUCAUUGGGUUUAAAGGGUCCGUAGGCGGUCAGAUAAGUCAGUGGUGAAAGCCCAUCGCUCAACGGUGGAACGGCCAUUGAUACUGUCUGACUUGAAUUAUUAGGAAGUAACUAGAAUAUGUAGUGUAGCGGUGAAAUGCUUAGAGAUUACAUGGAAUACCAAUUGCGAAGGCAGGUUACUACUAAUAUAUUGACGCUGAGGACGAAA